Molecule: long non-coding RNA, 681 nt
Filed under: Mytilus galloprovincialis (Mediterranean mussel)
Lineage: Eukaryota; Metazoa; Mollusca; Bivalvia; Mytilida; Mytilidae
Source: RNAcentral
AUGUGUUUACCCACACUAAUGCCCCCACCAGCUGUAGAUAUGAACUCAGGUGCUCCGUAAGGGUUAGCAGACUCUGUUCCAAAAGAGAAUAUUUGGUAACCACCACUAAUGCCCCCACCAACUGUAGAUAUAAACUCAGGUCCUCCGUAAGGGUUAGCAGUUUCUGUUCCAAUAGAGAAUAUUUGGUAACCAACACUUUUGCCCCCACCAGCUGUAGAUAUGAACUCAGGUGCUCCGUGAGGGUUAGCAGUUUCUGUUCCAAUAGAGAAUAAUGGUUGCCCACACUAAUGCCCCCAUCACCUGUAGAUAUGAACUCAUGUGCUCCGUAAGGGUUAGCAGUUUCUGUUCCAAAAAAUAAUAUUUGGUAACCAACACUAAUGCAGUAUUAGUGAAUGCAGGAGAGUCUGACUUAUUUAUCAGUUGUUGCUUACAUCUAAGUCAUUUGGUGUAUGGUUGACAGUCGUCUCAUUGGCAAUCAUACCGUAUCUUCAUAUGUUUGUACAUAAGUUCACUAUAUCUAAGUAAGCAUCCAACAACCGAAAUAUAAAGGUUGUACUUUGUAAAUACAGCUGAUUUCACAAACCAAACCUCUUUUGGGGAGAUAUAUAAUAUUCAUAGAUAGUUUGUCUUGUUUACCUACUGGUUUCCAGAUAUGAUCACUUGGGAAUUUUUCACAGCCGC